RNAcentral lists this ribosomal RNA (254 nucleotides) under uncultured bacterium. RNAcentral describes it as "partial 16S ribosomal RNA". It matches the Rfam family "Bacterial small subunit ribosomal RNA", at positions 524 to 776 of the family's 1533-position model. The record is from RNAcentral.
UACGGGGGGGGCAAGCGUUGUUCGGAAUUACUGGGCGUAAAGGGCUCGUAGGCGGCCAACUAAGUCAGACGUGAAAUCCCUCGGCUUAACCGGGGAACUGCAUCUGAUACUGGAUGGCUUGAGGUUGGGAGAGGGAUGCGGAAUUCCGGGUGUAGCGGUGAAAUGCGUAGAUAUCUGGAGGAACACCGGUGGCGAAGGCGGCAUCCUGGACCAAUUCUGACGCUGAGUGAGCGAAAGCCAGGGGAGCAAACGGG